RNAcentral lists this ribosomal RNA (253 nucleotides) under uncultured bacterium. Its description in RNAcentral is "partial 16S ribosomal RNA". It matches the Rfam family "Bacterial small subunit ribosomal RNA", at positions 524 to 776 of the family's 1533-position model. The record is from RNAcentral.
UACGUAGGGGGCUAGCGUUGUCCGGAAUCAUUGGGCGUAAAGAGCGCGUAGGCGGCCAGAUAAGUCCGGUGUGAAAGUCAAAGGCUCAACCUUUGAAUGCCGCUGGAAACUGUCUGGCUAGAGUCCGGGAGGGGCGAGUGGAAUUCCUGGUGUAGCGGUGAAAUGCGCAGAUAUCAGGAAGAACACCGAUGGCGAAGGCAGCUCUCUGGGACGGUACUGACGCUGAGACGCGAAAGCGUGGGGAGCAAACAGG